Molecule: ribosomal RNA, 363 nt
Filed under: uncultured eukaryote
Lineage: Eukaryota
Description: partial 18S ribosomal RNA
Rfam family: Eukaryotic small subunit ribosomal RNA
Source: RNAcentral
CAAUAGCGUAUACUAAUGUUGUUGCAGUUAAAAAGCUCGUAGUUGAACUUCUGGUAGGAGUGUCCCGGCCUUUUUGUUUUUACAAAUUGUAUGCCGUGUGACAUCUCUGGCCAUCCUUCUUCUUUGUUUAAAGAAGAUCUUUCACUGUAAAAAAAUUAGGGUGUUCAAAGCAAAAGUUUCUUUGGAAUAUAUUAGUAUGGGAUGAUAAGAUAGGCUCUAGAUGCUAUUUUGUUGGUUUGCACAUUUAGAGAAUGAUUAACAGGGACAGUUGGGGGUAUUCGUAUUUACAUGUCAGAGGUGAAAUUCUUGGAUUUUGGAAAGACGAACUACUGCGAAAGCAUUUACCAAGGAUGUUUUCAUUAA